UUAACUCUCAGAUUUAAUACACAUUAAUUCUCCAUUAAUCUCUACUAAUCAACAGUUAAUUAAAGAAUGAAAUAGAAAGGGAUUAGGGAUUUAACGUGAAUCUUGGAGUCCUGAAGAACUCAAUCUUCAUCCUCUCGAGCGGUGAACGGCGCGGCGGUUCCCCUCUUGAACUCACCUUCUCCGAUCAAAAUCCAAGGCGCCACCGUCCAGCCAUACCAUCAUCAUCUCCUCCGCUCUCAUCUUCAUCGUCUCGCUUUCGAAGCUCUCUCUAAUCUCCGAUGCCUUUCGCUCUCUUCACCUCAUGAACCUUCGAUUUCUUCUCUCAACUUUCUUCUCCUUUCUCGAUUUGAUUUCCGACGUUGAUUUGUUGUUUUCAGAUUGUUGAAGGUGAAAGUGAUGAUACCGAGUGAAGAUUCUGGAAAAUUGCUGCGUGAAUGAAGGUUUUGUCAGUGAUGAAUCACGCUCAAGAUUGUUGCGAAAUCAUUAUCGUGUAAUGAAGGUGUUGCAAUGCUUGUUGUUAUUCGACACUGAUGAAGAUGUUCAGAGUGUUUUCUUUUUGAUUUUCUGAGAGAUGAUUGGAGUUGCGUUGAUUUGAUGAUUGAAGAUGAGGUUGAAGAACGGUGAAGGUUUUGUGGAUUUCAAAAUUGAUGAAGAACGAUUGGUGAAUCAAGAGGAAAUUAUUGAACGAAGAGAUGAAGAUUGAGAGAGAGAGUUUUUAGUUACAGGUUCCUUCUAUCUUUCUUUUUGUGAACUCUGUUAUCUCCUCUCUGUUAUGGAUUCAAUGAAGAGAGAAAGAUAAAGUUAUGGUUUGAGGAUGAAGAAUCGAUGGAGAUCCAUUGAAGAUGAUGAAGAACAGAGAUGAUGAAGAUCAGAAUUGGUGGAGAAGUUUUGUUAUGGAUUCGUUUGUUGAUGGAUUGUUGAAGAUUGGCCAAGAUUGCGAGAGAAUUCAGAGAUUCUGUUAUGGUUCAGUCACCGAUUUUUUGUUACAUUUUCGGUUACCUCUCUUUUCCUCUCCCCUACCUGUUAUCGAUUUCUGUAUCUGAGCCUCUCCCCUAUCUGUAAUUGUGCUGCUGCUUUUUGUAUUGUGUUGCAGGGUUAGACGCUGUUGAAUCGGUUUGCUUCUGUUGGAUGCCGGGCUUCAAGUUUUUUUUCCUUUUUCCAUUUUUUUAAUGUAACUUGAACUGGGCUUUAUAAUGAACCUUUUCUUUUGUAAUUCAAAUUUGGGUAAUGAAUUGUAUGGACUUUUGUGAUGAUAUUGUAAUGAUAAUUGAAUGAGUUUGACUUUUGGACAUGUAGCAUUUUGAAUCGAAACAACUUUGUACACCUUUGCUUCUUUUUCAUGUAAGACCUUGAAUGAUAAUGAAUGACUUAGAUUGUGAAACUUGUGUGUCAAAACAUAUGAUUGGAUCCUUCAUCCAUAGCAAGCUCGAAUUAAUUCUUGACAAAUCAUAUGCUUAAGAACAAACCGAUUAAUCUUGAACACAAAUCUAAAUUCCUGUCAUUAAGUAGUCUCUUGAAUCAACACAACGGUAUACCUCGUACUUUGCACAAGAACGUGAAUUAAAACCUUGUAUGCCAUCUUAGAUCCACGUAACUUAUAUUGCGAGCAAACUGAUGAGAACAGAAACUUCUUUGAUCAUAACGAAUCUACAAAUUCAUCUCUCGUGUCAUGCCUCACAUUAGCAUUUCAA
Vicia villosa (hairy vetch) is the source of this 1691-nucleotide long non-coding RNA. RefSeq lists it as uncharacterized. The transcript is spliced from 3 exons. The record is from RefSeq and is a predicted model, not a curated record. NCBI's taxonomy places the organism in Eukaryota, Viridiplantae, Streptophyta, Magnoliopsida, Fabales, Fabaceae.